GGCUUAGUCCUGUGAUUGAAAAACUCUUUCUGGAAGGUUGAUGGAGCAGGAGGAUGAGCAUUUCGAUUGCCAUCCAUCGCUUCCACAGAAGCCUCAAUAUUGCCAUUCCAAAUGACUGUCUGUCUUUCUGGUUGUUGACGUGACUGCAGGGAAGGACUGGUGCACCUCCUACAACAGAACAUGCGAGUCAGGCUGUGAAGAAGCCCCUUCAGCCCUAAAUACUCACAUCAGCUGAAACAACCAGCAGAGAGGGAUGGCAGAAUAUUGAAUUAGCAUCUAUUUUAAAAUAGCUCCUGCUUGGAGUGGGGCCUGAUGGAGACACCUAAUGGAGUUGUCUGUACACACAAUCCUCUGCUUAUAUUGAGACUUCCUCGGUGAUUUGCUCCCCAACAACAACUGAAGACAUAAGGGUAGAGAUGCACACGCAUGCAGUGGAUUAUGUUCAGCAUAGUUUCUUUGGAGGGAUGACCAGCUGUCCCAACAUACUGUUGCAACCCUUUUAGCAGAGACUGUCCUGCUGUAUUACCAUAGGAGCAAACACUGGAAAGAAGUCCCAUCUCUGGCCUGCAAAACUACUUUGUGCUUACACAGAUAGCCCUGUUAAUUAAAGAGGGUGAUUUCAUCCUACGCUGGCUAGAAGACUCUUCACAGUGGAAAGAGGUACUUGGUCUGAAUCUGUGUAAG
Molecule: long non-coding RNA, 684 nt
Filed under: Gallus gallus (chicken)
Lineage: Eukaryota; Metazoa; Chordata; Aves; Galliformes; Phasianidae
Description: long non-coding RNA NONGGAT001265
Source: RNAcentral